This 495-nucleotide ribosomal RNA is filed under the name uncultured bacterium. RNAcentral's name for it is "partial 16S ribosomal RNA". It matches the Rfam family "Bacterial small subunit ribosomal RNA", at positions 30 to 507 of the family's 1533-position model. The record is from RNAcentral.
UGAACGCUGGCGGCGUGCCUCAUACAUGCAAGUCGAGCGACCAGACGAGGAGCUUGCUCCUCUGACGUUAGCGGCGGACGGGUGAGUAACACGUGGAUAACCUACCUAUAAGACUGGGAUAACUUCGGGAAACCGGAGCUAAUACCGGAUAAUAUAUUGAACCGCAUGGUUCAAUAGUGAAAGACGGUUUUGCUGUCACUUAUAGAUGGAUCCGCGCCGCAUUAGCUAGUUGGUAAGGUAACGGCUUACCAAGGCAACGAUGCGUAGCCGACCUGAGAGGGUGAUCGGCCACACUGGAACUGAGACACGGUCCAGACUCCUACGGGAGGCAGCAGUAGGGAAUCUUCCGCAAUGGGCGAAAGCUUGACGGAGCAACGCCGCGUGAGUGAUGAAGGUCUUCGGAUCGUAAAACUCUGUUAUUAGGGAAGAACAAAUGUGUAAGUAACUAUGCACGUCUUGACGGUACCUAAUCAGAAAGCCACGGCUAACUACGUG